ACGUAAUAGAUACCCGGGUAGUCCACGCCCUAAACGAUGCGAACUGGAUGUUGGGUGCAACUAGGCACUCAGUAUCGAAAGCUAACGCGUUAAGUUCGCCGCCUGGGGAGUACGGUCGCAAGACUGAAACUCAAAGGAAUUGACGGGGGCCCGCACAAGCGGUGGAGUAUGUGGUUUAAAUUCGAUGCAACGCGCAGAACCUUACCUGGCCUUGACAUCCACGGAACUUUCCAGAGAUGGAUUGGUGCCUUCGGGAACCGUGAGACAGGUGCUGCAUGGCUGUCGUCAGCUCGUGUCGUGAGAUGUUGGGUUAAGUCCCGCAACGAGCGCAACCCUUGUCCUUAGUUGCCAGCACGUAAUGGUGGGAACUCUAAGGAGACCGCCGGUGACAACCGGAGGAAGGUGGGAUGACGUCAAGUCAUCAUGGCUCUUACGGCCAGGGCUACACACGGUACUACAAUGUGGGGACAGAGGGCUGCAAUCCGCACGGGUGAGCC
This 497-nucleotide ribosomal RNA is filed under the name uncultured bacterium. RNAcentral's name for it is "bacterial SSU rRNA". It matches the Rfam family "Bacterial small subunit ribosomal RNA", at positions 773 to 1269 of the family's 1533-position model. The record is from RNAcentral.